RNAcentral lists this ribosomal RNA (404 nucleotides) under uncultured prokaryote. RNAcentral describes it as "bacterial SSU rRNA". It matches the Rfam family "Bacterial small subunit ribosomal RNA", at positions 355 to 776 of the family's 1533-position model. The record is from RNAcentral. RNAcentral also lists the same sequence under 1 other name.
UGGGGAAUAUUGGGCAAUGGGGGAAACCCUGACCCAGCAACGCCGCGUGAAGGAAGAAGGUUUUCGGAUCGUAAACUUCUAUCCUUGGUGAAGAUAAUGACGGUAGCCAAGAAGGAAGCCCCGGCUAACUACGUGCCAGCAGCCGCGGUAAUACGUAGGGGGCAAGCGUUGUCCGGAAUGAUUGGGCGUAAAGGGCGCGUAGGCGGCCUGGUAAGUCUGGAGUGAAAGUCCUGCUUUUAAGGUGGGAAUUGCUUUGGAUACUGUCGGGCUUGAGUGCAGGAGAGGUAAGCGGAAUUCCCGGUGUAGCGGUGAAAUGCGUAGAGAUCGGGAGGAACACCAGUGGCGAAGGCGGCUUACUGGACUGUAACUGACGCUGAGGCGCGAAAGUGUGGGGAGCAAACAGG